GUUCAUUCUGACCCAAGCCGUUCUGUGAUUCUAUGACAUUGUUUGGCAGUGUCACGCAAGGUGUCCCUGCCACUGAAGCUCUCUGCUCCUGACCAGGCCAGCCUCUCGCUGUUGUCCUGCCUCGGCCUGCUCCCCGCAUUGAUCCUACAGCAGGAUAAGCACUGGGAAGGAGUUGGGAGUGAAUGAAUGCCUGUGUGGUGCUCAGCCACCUGAUGGGCUAAACCACAACAAUAACCUUGAGGUCAUUCUCCCAUAUGAUACCACUACAUUGACAGAUGGCAGAUGACUGUGCAUUGGCAGGAAUGGAAGGAAGUCUGGCGAAAUAGCUCACUAAUUUUAAGAGCAUGACCUCGCAGGACCAACAAAGUGAAAACAGAAGAUAGCAGCCAAAAUGUCUUCCCACGUCAAUACCUUGUAAUCAUUUUUAUUGCAUAAAACCCUCAGGUCUUUCUGGGAAUGUAAUCCAUCUGAACACAUUUCAAAUGAAUAAAUCAGAUUUCCCUGACGGCAA
Molecule: long non-coding RNA, 511 nt
Filed under: Gallus gallus (chicken)
Lineage: Eukaryota; Metazoa; Chordata; Aves; Galliformes; Phasianidae
Description: long non-coding RNA NONGGAT004562
Source: RNAcentral